UUAUUUGAGAGUUUGAUCCUGGCUCAGGAUGAACGCUGGCGGCGUGCCUAACACAUGCAAGUUGAGCGAUUUACUUCGGUAAAGAGCGGCGGACGGGUGAGUAACGCGUGGGUAACCUACCCUGUACACACGGAUAACAUACCGAAAGGUAUGCUAAUACGGGAUAACAUAUUUGAGAGGCAUCUCUUGAAUAUCAAAGGUGAGCCAGUACAGGAUGGACCCGCGUCUGAUUAGCUAGUUGGUAAGGUAACGGCUUACCAAGGC
This 264-nucleotide ribosomal RNA is filed under the name Clostridioides difficile. RNAcentral describes it as "partial 16S ribosomal RNA". It matches the Rfam family "Bacterial small subunit ribosomal RNA", at positions 1 to 274 of the family's 1533-position model. Lineage: Bacteria; Bacillati; Bacillota; Clostridia; Peptostreptococcales; Peptostreptococcaceae. The record is from RNAcentral.